RNAcentral lists this small RNA (156 nucleotides) under Candidatus Brevifilum fermentans. RNAcentral describes it as "Brevefilum fermentans M-box riboswitch aptamer (ykoK leader)". It matches the Rfam family "M-box riboswitch aptamer (ykoK leader)". Rfam says of the family: M-box riboswitch, also know as ykoK leader is described as a metaloregulatory RNA that sense divalent metals and function as a genetic control element of genes related to divalent metal transport in bacteria. It was first reported upstream of the B.subtilis ykoK gene and genes with related functions in other bacteria. Lineage: Bacteria; Bacillati; Chloroflexota; Anaerolineae; Anaerolineales; Anaerolineaceae. The record is from Rfam by way of RNAcentral.
AUUACGACUCGGUAGGUGAGGCUACUACGCGGAUACGGAUUACUGCCGCAAAAUAGUGGAGACACUAUGAGCUGGUAUGAACAGUUGUGGUCGAUUAAGGCUUCAACGAAUGUAAUUUCAUCGCCUCGCAGAGUUAAAGCUCAAACGGGACUGCUU